Molecule: long non-coding RNA, 2172 nt
Organism: Drosophila ficusphila
Lineage: Eukaryota; Metazoa; Arthropoda; Insecta; Diptera; Drosophilidae
Exons: 3
Source: RefSeq, a predicted model, not a curated record
CGUUGUUACGAACUGCUAUUGAGUGGGCAGUGCCGCUAGCUCAGCGAUCUCAUUUGGGCCAAGUUCUCCCCAAUUGCCCGCAGUCCGACAACAUAAAAUACUAACAUCGAUAACGGUCGUCUCACAACACUAACUUUCUGCGAUCACUAACAAAACGUAAACAAACAAAAAUUUAAAUUCAAACAUUAACUCAGGCGGCGGAAAUUUUUGGACCUUUGAGUGGCCUUUGGUGUCCUGGCCAUUGCGUACCCACCCUACCUAGGAUGUUUCCUCCUACUGUGGGGAGAUGAAAUCAAAGUCGCCGGUGGACUUCCGACCAUAGUACGCCUACGCAUCGCCAAAACCCUCGAAAUUUCCGCCCCUCUCGCAGCCGCUCGUCAACUGGUCUAGCUAUCACUUUAAGUGAUAGCUGCCAGUUAAGGACUCCAGCCGCUCCUGGACUGCUGUUGGUUUUCUUCCUCAUCUGCAGUUUCCAUCGCAAAUCGAGGGACUCGUGCAUCGCGUGUACUUUCAACGGGCCACGAGUACCAAUUAAGUUGUUAAAACCGACAGGAAAUUGGAAACCCACAGACGGAAGAAAAACCCAGGAAUCCGUACACAAUUUACAGACAACAAAAAAAAAUAUUAAUAAAUAAAUUAAUGUUACAAAAAAAACUACAAAGAAAACGAGACUAUUUAUUGGCCAGCAUGUUACUGGACAAGCCUCCCACCAUCCUUAGCUAAUCUCUAGUUCCCGAGUCACCCUUCCCGAUGCAAUUGCAUACGUCUACAAGCCACCGUUCAGAGUGACCGGAAACUAGGCCAGCUCGUCGCCUCAACCAUUUUCAAAAUUUAAUUGUGCGACCAGGGAGCAAUUGACCAGCACUCUGGAAUAGCCUCCCACUUCCUCAGCUUCUCCUUAGUUCGCCAUUCCCCCAUCACGAUGCAAUUGCAACUUCCUUGCAAGCCACCGUUCUGAAGGGCUGACCAACUAAGUCCGCUCCUCGCGAGACGUCGUCGCCUCGACCAGGUAUAUAUAUUUUUUUUUUAAAUUGGGCGCCAUUAUGUUACGAACUGCUAUUGAGUGGGCAGUGCCGCUAGCUCAGCGAUCUCAUUUGGGCCAAGUUCUCCCCAAUUGCCCGCAGUCCGACAACAUAAAAUACUAACAUCGAUAACGGUCGUCUCACAACACUAACUUUCUGCGAUCACUAACAAAAUGUAAACAAACAAAAAUUUAAAUUCAAACAUUAACUCAGGCGGCGGAAAUUUUUGGACCUUUGAGUGGCCUUUGGUGUCCUGGCCAUUGCGUACCCACCCUACCUAGGAUGUUUCAAAAAGGUCUAGCAAUUCAUCAUCGUUAUAAUGGCUUUAAUUAUUCAGGUGAGUACAAUUGACAUUUCGCAUCUAAUUCAUUUCCUCAAAAUCUAUUUGUUCAUCUAACCUCAGAAUCGCCAAUCAACCGCCGUAUCAGUAUAUUUAGCGGUCAAAGCUAAAUUUAAGAACAAGGAAUAGACACUCUCCGACAAAAAUGUUCUGCCGCCCUUGUAUCGGCAGAACUCUCUGGGUUACGCGGCUUAAAUUAAGGUCACCUAAUCCUGAGGAGCUCCAAGGGAAAAGAAGGGACGCCGAAAGGUAUGGGAGAUUUACACACUUGAUUCCUUCAUCCUAAUUAAUUGCGACCCUUUUAUUUUAGCAACCGUCGAUCAAGGGUGAAUCUUUGGAAGGACGCACAAUAGACUUAACAAUAUAAGGUAUUUAAAUUCUUAAAAGCUACACAUUAUUUUAAUUGAUUUUCCUCAAUUUCAGGAAGUGGUGGGUUUGGGCUCGGCCCACCAGAAAAUCGCACCACCAGGAACUCGGAGGCGUAUAGGGACUUUGCUGGCCAACCUCGUGGUACCAGCCGCUCGCGAGGAAAACUGGCCACUAAUUUGGGAGCACCCCAACACGGAACGGACUCACCGGAGAUCUCUAGCAGGUAGCGAGGAUUUGGUCGUUGAUGGUGUGGUUCUUCAAAAGGUUCCUCCAAACGCACGUUCUCCUCAGGGAACUUCGUAGUUGUGUCCCUCCAAAAAAUGUUAUAAUUUUGUGUUGAUCGAAAAACUGUGGCCUCUCCAGAAUAUUUAUAUUUCCAUAUGUUAUAAGUAUAUAUUUGCUCCACAAAAAAUUGUAUUUCCUUCGGCGAAAAAUAACCGU